Molecule: microRNA precursor, 60 nt
Filed under: Monodelphis domestica (gray short-tailed opossum)
Lineage: Eukaryota; Metazoa; Chordata; Mammalia; Didelphimorphia; Didelphidae
Description: microRNA mdo-mir-7352 precursor
Source: miRBase by way of RNAcentral
AUAGUAUCCUAUGGAAAAAUGGGCUAACUUUUGAGAACAUUUUUCCUGAGGAUUCUAAGC